This 492-nucleotide ribosomal RNA is filed under the name uncultured bacterium. RNAcentral's name for it is "partial 16S ribosomal RNA". It matches the Rfam family "Bacterial small subunit ribosomal RNA", at positions 29 to 507 of the family's 1533-position model. The record is from RNAcentral.
AGUGAACGCUGGCGGUAGGCCUAACACAUGCAAGUCGAGCGGCAGCACAGUAAGAGCUUGCUCUUACGGGUAGCGAGUGGCGGACGGGUGAGGAAUACAUCGGAAUCUACUUUUUCGUGGGGGAUAACGUAGGGAAACUUACGCUAAUACCGCAUACGACCUACGGGUGAAAUCAGGAGAUCUUCGGACCUUGCGCGAUUCAAUGAGCCGAUGUCGGAUUAGCUAGUUGGCAGGGUAAAGGCUCACCAAGGCGACGAUCCGUAGCGGGUCUGAGAGGAUGAUCAGCCACACUGGAACUGAGACACGGUCCAGACUCCUACGGGAGGCAGCAGUGGGGAAUAUUCGACAAUGGGCGAAAGCUUGAUCCAGCCAUACCGCGUGGGUGAAGAAGGUCUUCGGGUUGUAAAGCCCUUUUGUUGGGAAAGAAAAGCAGCAGGUGAAUACCCCGAUGUUCUGACGGUACCCAAAGAAUAAGCACCGGCUAACUUCGUG